Molecule: non-coding RNA, 46 nt
Organism: Schistosoma mansoni
Lineage: Eukaryota; Metazoa; Platyhelminthes; Trematoda; Strigeidida; Schistosomatidae
Source: Rfam
GCACUACUGAAGAGUCCCAUAAUAGGACGAAAGGGCCGUCCAGUGC